This 548-nucleotide ribosomal RNA is filed under the name uncultured Glomus. Its description in RNAcentral is "SSU rRNA". It matches the Rfam family "Eukaryotic small subunit ribosomal RNA", at positions 548 to 1098 of the family's 1831-position model. The record is from RNAcentral. Lineage: Eukaryota; Fungi; Glomeromycota; Glomeromycetes; Glomerales; Glomeraceae.
UUGGAGGGCAAGUCUGGUGCCAGCAGCCGCGGUAAUUCCAGCUCCAAUAGCGUAUAUUAAAGUUGUUGCAGUUAAAAAGCUCGUAGUUGAAUUUCGAGAUCAAUUUGUUGGUCGUGCCUCGGUACGUACUGGCAAUUUUGAUUUCUCCCUUCUGAAGAACCAUGAUGUCAUUAAUUUGGUGUCACGGGGAAUCAGGACCGUUACUUUGAAAAAAUUAGAGUGUUUAAAGCAGGCUCGCGCUUGAAUACAUUAGCAUGGAAUAAUGAAAUAGGACGUUUGAUUCUAUUUUGUUGGUUUCUAGGAUCGACGUAAUGAUUAAUAGGGAUAGUUGGGGGCAUUAGUAUUCAAUUGUCAGAGGUGAAAUUCUUGGAUUUAUUGAAGACUAACUACUGCGAAAGCAUUUGCCAAGGAUGUUUUCAUUAAUCAAGAACGAAAGUUAGGGGAUCGAAGACGAUCAGAUACCGUCGUAGUCUUAACCAUAAACUAUGCCGACUAGGGAUCGGAUGAUGUUAAUUUUUUAAUGACUCAUUCGGCGCCUUACGGGAAAC